UACGUAGGGUGCAAGCGUUGUCCGGAAUUAUUGGGCGUAAAGAGCUCGUAGGCGGUUUGUCGCGUCUGCUGUGAAAACUCGGGGCUUAACCCCGGGCCUGCAGUGGGUACGGGCAGACUAGAGUGCGGUAGGGGAGACUGGAAUUCCUGGUGUAGCGGUGAAAUGCGCAGAUAUCAGGAGGAACACCGGUGGCGAAGGCGACUUUCUGGACAGAUACUGACACUGAGGCACGAAAGCAUGGGGAGCAAACAGG
RNAcentral lists this ribosomal RNA (253 nucleotides) under uncultured bacterium. RNAcentral describes it as "partial 16S ribosomal RNA". It matches the Rfam family "Bacterial small subunit ribosomal RNA", at positions 524 to 776 of the family's 1533-position model. The record is from RNAcentral.